Molecule: long non-coding RNA, 445 nt
Filed under: Gossypium barbadense (sea-island cotton)
Lineage: Eukaryota; Viridiplantae; Streptophyta; Magnoliopsida; Malvales; Malvaceae
Description: long non-coding RNA (GBAR_LNC013623)
Source: RNAcentral
UUAUUUUUAGCAUGGAAUGUUGAAAACAUUCAAGUAUAAAUAGGGCAUCAAGCAUCAUAUAUUGACAUCAUUAAUUUUCAGAGAAAAAAUCUUAGAGUGUCAUUUGUUUCCUUAUGGCUUGCAAAGAAUUUGCAUGCCUCAAAAUAAGGAGAAACUCUUACCGAAAUUGAGAGAAGCUAGAAAGUAUGACUUGAGACCAUUUAGGUGAUUUAACAUUAGGAAGAUGAGGAGAGCCACCAUGAGAAGCCACAAGGAGCAGUUUCAGAUAACCCACCUACAGUCUAACAUUUUUGCCUUCUUAUUGUGCAACAGUUGUGGAUAAACCCCCUCGACUAUUCUUCUCCCUUUUCUCUUUAUUGUUAAUUUUUGUUUUCUGUGCUGAAAAACAUGUUUACAUCUCAUCUUUAUGUUUUGAAUUCAAUAAAGCAUGACUUAAUUUUGUUUA